RNAcentral lists this ribosomal RNA (777 nucleotides) under uncultured Actinomycetes bacterium. Its description in RNAcentral is "bacterial SSU rRNA". It matches the Rfam family "Bacterial small subunit ribosomal RNA", at positions 74 to 866 of the family's 1533-position model. Lineage: Bacteria; Bacillati; Actinomycetota; Actinomycetes. The record is from RNAcentral.
GCACCUUCGGGUGUGAAUUAGCGGCGAACGGGUGAGGAACACGUGAAGAAUCUGCCUUCAACUCUGGGAUAACUCCGGGAAACCGGGGCUAAUACCGGAUAUGAGCCUUGAUCGCAUGAUCGGGGCUGGAAAGUUUUUCGGUUGAAGAUGACUUCGCGGCCUAUCAGCUUGUUGGUGAGGUAAUGGCUCACCAAGGCGACGACGGGUAGCCGGCCUGAGAGGGCGACCGGCCACACUGGGACUGAGACACGGCCCAGACUCCUACGGGAGGCAGCAGUGGGGAAUAUUGGGCAAUGGAGGAAACUCUGACCCAGCGACGCCGCGUGAGGGAUGAAGGCCUUCGGGUUGUAAACCUCUUUCAGUAGGGAAGAAGCGAAAGUGACGGUACCUACAGAAGAAGCACCGGCUAACUAUGUGCCAGCAGCCGCGGUAAUACAUAGGGUGCAAGCGUUGUCCGGAAUUAUUGGGCGUAAAGAGCUCGUAGGUGGUUCGAUACGUCGGAUGUGAAAAUCAGGGGCUCAACCCCUGACCUGCAUCCGAUACGGUCGAGCUAGAGUUUGGUAGGGGAGACUGGAAUUCCUGGUGUAGCGGUGGAAUGCGCAGAUAUCAGGAGGAACACCGAUGGCGAAGGCAGGUCUCUGGGCCAAUACUGACACUGAGGAGCGAAAGCGUGGGGAGCGAACAGGAUUAGAUACCCUGGUAGUCCACGCCGUAAACGGUGGGCGCUAGUUGUGCGAACCUUCCACGGUUUGUGCGACGCAGCUAACGCAUUAAGCG